This 135-nucleotide ribosomal RNA is filed under the name uncultured bacterium. RNAcentral's name for it is "partial 16S rRNA". It matches the Rfam family "Bacterial small subunit ribosomal RNA", at positions 355 to 507 of the family's 1533-position model. The record is from RNAcentral.
CGGGGAAUAUUGGACAAUGGGCGAAAGCCUGAUCCAGCAAUGCCGCGUGAGUGAUGAAGGCCUUAGGGUUGUAAAGCUCUUUUACCCGGGAUGAUAAUGACAGUACCGGGAGAAUAAGCCCCGGCUAACUCCGUG